Bos grunniens (domestic yak) is the source of this 95-nucleotide microRNA precursor. Lineage: Eukaryota; Metazoa; Chordata; Mammalia; Artiodactyla; Bovidae. The record is from Ensembl.
UUUGCUCCCUGUCCCUUUGGCAUCCCUGUCUUAAGCAGCAGCCCUUUUUCCACCAAGGAGAUAUGGGUGGAAGAGGAGCUGCAGUUGGGAGUGGG